GACGAACGCUGGCGGCGUGCCUAAUACAUGCAAGUAGAACGCACAGUUUAUACCGUAGCUUGCUACACCAUAGACUGUGAGUUGCGAACGGGUGAGUAACGCGUAGGUAACCUGCCUGGUAGCGGGGGGUAACUAUUGGAAACGAUAGCUAAUACCGCAUAAUAUUAAUUAUUGCAUGAUAAUUAAUUGAAAGGUGCAAUUGCACCACUACCAGAUGGACCUGCGUUGUAUUAGCUAGUAGGUGAGGUAACGGCUCACCUAGGCGACGAUACAUAGCCGACCUGAGAGGGUGAUCGGCCACACUGGGACUGGGACACGGCCCAGACUCCUACGGGAGGCAGCAGUAGGGAAUCUUCGGCAAUGGACGAAAGUCUGACCGAGCAACGCCGCGUGAGUGAAGAAGGUUUUCGGAUCGUAAAGCUCUGUUGUAAGAGAAGAACGGGUGUGAGAGUGGAAAGUUCACACUGUGACGGUAUCUUACCAGAAAGGGACGGCUAACUACGUG
RNAcentral lists this ribosomal RNA (505 nucleotides) under uncultured bacterium. RNAcentral describes it as "partial 16S ribosomal RNA". It matches the Rfam family "Bacterial small subunit ribosomal RNA", at positions 28 to 507 of the family's 1533-position model. The record is from RNAcentral.